RNAcentral lists this ribosomal RNA (274 nucleotides) under uncultured bacterium. RNAcentral describes it as "partial 16S ribosomal RNA". It matches the Rfam family "Bacterial small subunit ribosomal RNA", at positions 523 to 796 of the family's 1533-position model. The record is from RNAcentral.
AUACGGAGGGUGCGAGCGUUAUCCGGAUUUAUUAGGUUUAAAGGGUGUGUAGGCGGGAGCCUAAGUCAGUGGUGAAAUCUCACAGCUUAACUGUGAAACUGCCAUUGAAACUGGGUUUCUUGAGUAUAGUUGAGGUAGGCGGAAUGUGUAAUGUAGCGGUGAAAUGCAUAGAUAUUACACAGAACACCGAUUGCGAAGGCAGCUUACUAAGCUAUUACUGACGUUGAUGCACGAAAGCGUGGGUAGCGAACAGGAUUAGAAACCCGAGUAGUCC